RNAcentral lists this long non-coding RNA (236 nucleotides) under Selaginella moellendorffii. RNAcentral describes it as "long non-coding RNA (SMOE_LNC002442)". The record is from RNAcentral. Lineage: Eukaryota; Viridiplantae; Streptophyta; Lycopodiopsida; Selaginellales; Selaginellaceae.
ACGCAGUUGAUCACUUAGCCCUCUUGUUUCAUGUGCUGAAAGAUCUCUAGAGCAGGAUGGAAAUGCAGGCUUCGAGUAAACAUUGAGGAUAGAGGACCACACCGGCAGUCAUCUUGUCGAGCAAACUCCUUGCUUCCCUCAAUCUCCUGGAACCUGAGGUAAAUUUCCAAGCGCGCCUGGCAGAUCGAUGCAUUGCUGGAGUAGCACAAGCACUAAAGGAGGCGCUGGCAAUGGAG